UGCAAUUAGAGCGAAUCUUUGGGAGCUUGCUCCCAUUGGUUAGCGGCGGACGGGUGAGUAACACGUGGGCAACCUGCCUGUAAGACUGGGAUAACUUCGGGAAACCGGAGCUAAUACCGGAUAAUCUUUUUCCUCUCAUGAGGAAAAACUGAAAGACGGUUUCGGGUGUGACUUACAGAUGGGCCCGCGGCGCAUUAGCUAGUUGGUGAGGUAACGGGUCACCAAGGCGACGAUGCUUAGCCGACCUGAGAGGGUGAUCGGCGCACACUGGGACUGAGACACGGCCCAGACUCCUACGGGAGGCAGCAGUAGGGAAUCUUCCACAAUGGACGAAAGUCUGAUGGAGCAACGCCGCGUGAGCGAUGAAGGCCUUCGGGUCGUAAAGCUCUGUUGUUAGGGAAGAACAAGUAUCGGAGUAACUGCCGGUACCUUGACGGUACCUAACCAGAAAGCCACGGCUAACUACGUGCCAGCAGCCGCGGUAAUACGUAGGUGGCAAGCGUUGUCCGGAAUUAUUGGGCGUAAAGCGCGCGCAGGCGGUCCUUUAAGUCUGAUGUGAAAGCCCACGGCUCAACCGUGGAGGGUCAUUGGAAACUGGGGGACUUGAGUGCAGAAGAGGAAAGCGGAAUUCCACCGUGUAGCGGUGAAAUGCGUAGAGAUGUGGAGGAACACCAGUGG
RNAcentral lists this ribosomal RNA (678 nucleotides) under Bacillus sp. IDA0223. Its description in RNAcentral is "bacterial SSU rRNA". It matches the Rfam family "Bacterial small subunit ribosomal RNA", at positions 56 to 715 of the family's 1533-position model. Lineage: Bacteria; Bacillati; Bacillota; Bacilli; Caryophanales; Bacillaceae. The record is from RNAcentral.